RNAcentral lists this ribosomal RNA (115 nucleotides) under Rhizobiaceae bacterium. The record is from RNAcentral. Lineage: Bacteria; Pseudomonadati; Pseudomonadota; Alphaproteobacteria; Hyphomicrobiales; Rhizobiaceae.
CCUGGUGGUUUUUGCGAGGUGGCUGCACCCGAUCCCAUCCCGAACUCGGAAGUGAAACGCCUCAGCGCCGAUGGUACUUUGUCUCAAGGCACGGGAGAGUAGGUCGCUGCCAGGU